RNAcentral lists this ribosomal RNA (301 nucleotides) under uncultured bacterium. RNAcentral describes it as "partial 16S ribosomal RNA". It matches the Rfam family "Bacterial small subunit ribosomal RNA", at positions 509 to 807 of the family's 1533-position model. The record is from RNAcentral.
CAGCCGCCGCGGGAAUACGUAGGGUGCAAGCGUUAAUCGGAAUUACUGGGCGUGAAGCGUGCGCAGGCGGUUAUAUAAGACAGAUGUGAAAUCCCCGGGCUCAACCUGGGAACUGCAUUUGUGACUGUAUAGCUAGAGUACGGCAGAGGGGGAUGGAAUUCCGCGUGUAGCAGUGAAAUGCGUAGAUAUGCGGAGGAACACCGAUGGCGAAGGCAAUCCCCUGGGCCUGUACUGACGCUCAUGCACGAAAGCGUGGGGAGCAAACAGGAUUAGAUACCCGCGUAGUCCCUGUCUCUUAUAC